Molecule: ribosomal RNA, 330 nt
Filed under: uncultured bacterium
Lineage: Bacteria
Description: bacterial SSU rRNA
Rfam family: Bacterial small subunit ribosomal RNA
Source: RNAcentral
AGCGUGAAGGAUGACGGCCCUACGGGUUGUAAACUUCUUUUGUGCGGGAAUAAAGGAGCCUACGUGUAGGCUUUUGCAUGUACCGUAACGAAUAAGCAUCGGCUAACUCCGUGCCAGCAGCCGCGGUAAUACGGAGGAUGCGAGCGUUAUCCGGAUUUAUUGGGUUUAAAGGGAGCGUAGACGGGUUCUUAAGUCAGCUGUGAAAGUUUGGGGCUCAACCUUAAAAUUGCAGUUGAAACUGGAGACCUUGAGUACGGUUGAGGCAGGCGGAAUUCGUGGUGUAGCGGUGAAAUGCUUAGAUAUCACGAAGAACCCCGGUCGACGCGGCCG